RNAcentral lists this ribosomal RNA (216 nucleotides) under Glomeromycotina sp. RNAcentral's name for it is "partial small subunit ribosomal RNA". The stretch from base 40 to 216 matches the Rfam family "Eukaryotic small subunit ribosomal RNA", at positions 686 to 864 of the family's 1831-position model. The record is from RNAcentral. Lineage: Eukaryota; Fungi; Glomeromycota.
GGGUCAGUAGGUUGGUCGUGCCACCGGUACGUACUGGUCUCACUGAUUCCUCCUUCCUGAAGAACCGUAAUGCCAUUAAUUUGGUGUUGCGGGGAAACAGGACUGUUACUUUGAGAAAAUUAGAGUGUUUAAAGCAAGCUAACGCUUGAAUACAUUAGCAUGGAAUAAUGAAAUAGGACGAUCGAUCCUAUUUUGAUGGUUUCUAGGAUUGACGUA